RNAcentral lists this transfer RNA (91 nucleotides) under Candidatus Thiodiazotropha sp. (ex Monitilora ramsayi). RNAcentral's name for it is "tRNA-Ser". It matches the Rfam family "tRNA". From Rfam's summary of the family: Transfer RNA (tRNA) molecules are approximately 80 nucleotides in length. Their secondary structure includes four short double-helical elements and three loops (D, anti-codon, and T loops). Further hydrogen bonds mediate the characteristic L-shaped molecular structure. tRNAs have two regions of fundamental functional importance: the anti-codon, which is responsible for specific mRNA codon recognition, and the 3' end, to which the tRNAs corresponding amino acid is attached (by aminoacyl-tRNA synthetases). tRNAs cope with the degeneracy of the genetic code in two manners: having more than one tRNA (with a specific anti-codon) for a particular amino acid; and 'wobble' base-pairing, i.e. permitting non-standard base-pairing at the 3rd anti-codon position. RNAcentral also lists the same sequence under 3 other names. The record is from RNAcentral. Lineage: Bacteria; Pseudomonadati; Pseudomonadota; Gammaproteobacteria; Chromatiales; Sedimenticolaceae.
GGAGAGAUGUCCGAGUGGCUGAAGGAGCACGCCUGGAAAGUGUGUAUACGUUCAUAGCGUAUCGAGGGUUCGAAUCCCUCUCUCUCCGCCA